Molecule: unclassified non-coding RNA, 275 nt
Filed under: fungal sp.
Lineage: Eukaryota; Fungi
Description: partial internal transcribed spacer region
Rfam family: Eukaryotic small subunit ribosomal RNA (bases 1-46)
Source: RNAcentral
AAGUCGUAACAAGGUUUCCGUAGGUGAACCUGCGGAAGGAUCAUUACAAAUCCAUCCACGUCUCUCUCUACCAAGAGUGCAGACCAUGUUGAAUUGUUAUGGUGGUUAGUGUGUGGGGGAGGGUACCGUGGACCGAUCUGGGCAACCGGACGUGUGCCAUGCUCUCCCACUCACUACCAUCAUUAUACCACUAGUUUUUCUUGUUGCACAAAUGUAUUUACACUUCAUCACGAAGCAAAAAAGUACAACUUAUAACAAUGGAUCUCUAGGCUCUU